Small nucleolar RNA from Ochotona princeps (American pika), 69 nucleotides. The record is from Ensembl. Lineage: Eukaryota; Metazoa; Chordata; Mammalia; Lagomorpha; Ochotonidae.
GGCAGAUUGAUGAUGAAACAAUCACAGAAAGAUUAUCAUUCACAAAUGAGUUUCCCAUUUGGAUGGUCU